This 403-nucleotide ribosomal RNA is filed under the name Verrucomicrobiota bacterium. RNAcentral's name for it is "Verrucomicrobia bacterium partial 16S ribosomal RNA". It matches the Rfam family "Bacterial small subunit ribosomal RNA", at positions 355 to 776 of the family's 1533-position model. The record is from RNAcentral. Lineage: Bacteria; Pseudomonadati; Verrucomicrobiota.
UGGGGAAUAUUGCACAAUGGGGGAAACCCUGAUGCAGCGACGCCGCGUGAGCGAAGAAGGUUUUCGAAUCGUAAAGCUCUGUCCUAUGAGAAGAUAAUGACGGUAUCAUAGGAGGAAGCCCCGGCUAAAUACGUGCCAGCAGCCGCGGUAAUACGUAUGGGGCGAGCGUUGUCCGGAAUUAUUGGGCGUAAAGGGUACGUAGGCGGUCUAUUAAGUCAGGUGUGAAAGCGUGAGGCUUAACCUCAUUAAGCACUUGAAACUGAUAGACUUGAGUGAAGGAGAGGAAAGUGGAAUUCCUAGUGUAGCGGUGAAAUGCGCAGAUAUUAGGAGGAAUACCGGUGGCGAAGGCGACUUUCUGGCCAUAAACUGACGCUGAGGUACGAAAGCGUGGGUAGCAAACAGG